RNAcentral lists this long non-coding RNA (476 nucleotides) under Brassica napus (rape). RNAcentral's name for it is "long non-coding RNA (BNAP_LNC016342)". The record is from RNAcentral. Lineage: Eukaryota; Viridiplantae; Streptophyta; Magnoliopsida; Brassicales; Brassicaceae.
AGUUGGAAGGGAUCUUUAGUAAUAUAUAAGAUAGAUGAGCCACUCCACUUAUCAUCAAUUGGUUUUAGGUUGAAAGCUCAUCUAGCUUAACAUGGUAUCAGAGCCCGAUCCACGCAGUCCAACCCGAUCCACAUCGACCCGGCCCAAAGUUGGCUCUCGAUCCUUGCCCAAAUAUUCCGAGAUUGACGCUUAAAGAGCCAUCAUCUCGAGGGGACGUAUUAGGGACAAAGGUCCCACAUCGGUAGUUGGAAGGGAUCUUUAGUAAUAUAUAAGAUAGAUGAGCCACUCCACUUAUCACCAAUUGGUUUUAGGUUGGAAACCCAUCUAGCUUAACAUCACACACCCAUUUAAACCCAUCCACAACCUACCAUCAUCUCGUCUUUCGGAAAGCGCUACCCCAUCUACACAAAAUCAUCCACCAGGAACCAUCCACCAUCUCCUAACACAACCACAAAUCUUUUACCACUCUCCUCCAU